RNAcentral lists this ribosomal RNA (253 nucleotides) under uncultured bacterium. Its description in RNAcentral is "partial 16S ribosomal RNA". It matches the Rfam family "Bacterial small subunit ribosomal RNA", at positions 524 to 776 of the family's 1533-position model. The record is from RNAcentral.
UACGUAGGUGGCAAGCGUUAUCCGGAAUUAUUGGGCGUAAAGCGCGCGCAGGCGGUCCUUUAAGUCUGAUGUGAAAGCCCACGGCUCAACCGUGGAGGGUCAUUGGAAACUGGGGGACUUGAGUGCAGAAGAGGAGAGCGGAAUUCCACGUGUAGCGGUGAAAUGCGUAGAGAUGUGGAGGAACACCAGUGGCGAAGGCGGCUCUCUGGGACGGUACUGACGCUGAGACGCGAAAGCGUGGGGAGCGAACAGG